GGAACUCAUUAAACUUCAUUUAAUGCAUUCCUAUGGCUCCCAAACUCACCGUUCAGCAAAGUUCCUCCAUAGCACCGCCAUUUUCGCGCCCUCGGUAAGCGAGGGCAGGGCGCAAAAACACUUGCGGUGGCCAUUUUGGGCACCUGGUGGCCAUUUUGGAACCGCCGAUCAGCUAUUUUAAAAAACAUCGCAAUGCGAAGAUCGGCAAGCGAAACACUUACUGAUCAUCACAAUGCGAUUUUCGGCCAUAGAAAACAUUGUGAUGCGGAUUCGUCAUUAAACAAUGCGCUCGUUAAGCGAGGCACCACUGUAUAAGUAACACUUGAGCAGCAGUGUCAUGGAACUUUCCCCAAUCUGGUGCCCUCAAGAUAUUUUGGACUUCAGUUUCCAUCAGCUGUACUGUAGACUGCAAGGCCAAUGACCAGGAAUGCUUGGCAUUCUAAUCCAAAACAUUUAAGGGGCACCAGGUUGGGAACAGCUGACACAGUUAAGCAAUACAACUGAAAAUGGUGAUACUUGCAUCUGUACACAUAACCUAAGGGCAAUUCCAGACAUACACUCCUCCUCCAUCAGAGUGCCAACACAAUGAAGAAUCUCUAGGCAUAUCAGUGCUAUAAAUGUGAACUAAGCUAACAUUGUUUCUUCCUAGGAAGCCCUGGGAGCUGUUACUCUCUAAUGAGGUACUGAGAAUCAAAAUGUUCAACUCCCCACCAAACAGUGGUGACCAAGCAAUCUUUGUAGGAAGCCUUGAUAACUAAUAUAGUAGAAAAGUGUCCUCGCAUCUCAUCCUGUCCUUCUCUGAACCACCAUAAUUAUAUAGUAGGGAGGCCAAGAAGUCAUCAACGAGAAAGUGGGCCUUCUUCACUGUGGCACCAACUCUUUGGAACCAGAUCCCGAUGGAGCUGCACCUGGCAACAUAUCCCAACACCCUUUAGAAGGCAUUUCAAAACUUUGCUCUUAAGAGAGUUCUUCCAGGGCAAUCCUGCUUAUCCCAUGAUUUGUGUCCCGCUUGUUACCAGAAUAUGCCUCCUGUUUUGUUGUUGUUGUUUUCUAAAUACUUGUUUAUAAUCUUAUUGUUCUUGUGGUGUUUUAUUUUAUUAUUCUGUAAACUGCCCAGAAUAGAGCAUUUCACUAAUGGGGCAGUAUACUGAACAAAUACAUGAAGAAAAGAACAAACACACACACACACACACACACACACACACACACACACACACUUUGGACAAAUGUGCAGACUGAAUUAGAGUUAUUUCUGUAUUUUCAUGGUAACUGCGGGGCAGAGCAAAAUGCCCAGAGACAUUAAGAGGCCAGAGGCAUUAAAAGCACAGAUUUGUUGUGUUAUACCUGGCUCUUAUGCAUCAGGAUUAGAGGUGGGAA
RNAcentral lists this long non-coding RNA (1377 nucleotides) under Pogona vitticeps (central bearded dragon). Its description in RNAcentral is "lncRNA (ENSPVIG00000008304.1)". Lineage: Eukaryota; Metazoa; Chordata; Lepidosauria; Squamata; Agamidae. The record is from RNAcentral.